This 697-nucleotide ribosomal RNA is filed under the name uncultured Actinomycetes bacterium. RNAcentral's name for it is "bacterial SSU rRNA". It matches the Rfam family "Bacterial small subunit ribosomal RNA", at positions 748 to 1444 of the family's 1533-position model. Lineage: Bacteria; Bacillati; Actinomycetota; Actinomycetes. The record is from RNAcentral.
GAGGAGCGAAAGCGUGGGGAGCGAACAGGAUUAGAUACCCUGGUAGUCCACGCCGUAAACGGUGGGCGCUAGAUGUGGGGACCCUUCCAUGGUUUCUGCGUCGCAGCUAACGCAUUAAGCGCCCCGCCUGGGGAGUACGGUCGCAAGACUAAAACUCAAAGGAAUUGACGGGGGCCCGCACAAGCAGCGGAGCAUGCGGCUUAAUUCGAUGCAACGCGAAGAACCUUACCUAGACUUGACAUAUACGGAAAACAUGCAGAGAUGUAUGGUCCUAACGGGCCGUUUACAGGUGGUGCAUGGUUGUCGUCAGCUCGUGUCGUGAGAUGUUGGGUUAAGUCCCGCAACGAGCGCAACCCUCGUUCUAUGUUGCCAGCACGUAAUGGUGGGGACUCAUAGGAGACUGCCGGGGUCAACUCGGAGGAAGGUGGGGAUGACGUCAAAUCAUCAUGCCCCUUAUGUCUAGGGCUGCACGCAUGCUACAAUGGCUGGUACAAAGGGCUGCGAUACCGCAAGGUGGAGCGAAUCCCAAAAAGCCAGUCUCAGUUCGGAUUGGGGUCUGCAACUCGACCCCAUGAAGUUGGAGUUGCUAGUAAUCGCAGAUCAGCAACGCUGCGGUGAAUACGUUCCCGGGCCUUGUACACACCGCCCGUCACGUCACGAAAGUCGGUAACACCCGAAGCCGGUGGCCUAACCGUAA